UGAAAAGAACUUUGGAGAGAGAGUUCAAUAGACCGUGAAACCGUUGGGAGGGAAGCUCAGGGUGUCGAGGUUGUCGUGCUCUGUUUGGGUUCAACUGGUGGUAGUUGGGUUGCCAGCUGCUGCCGGUGCACUCUCAUGCAGAGUUGGACCGUCAGUUGGGAAGACAUCGGGACCUGCAAUGAUCGAUGGAUGGGAGGUAAGCUUUGUGGUUCCCUCGGGUGCCCAGAGUGACGUAUAGCCGUUCCGUCGUGGUUCUGAUUGUCUUUCAGGUGUGUUUGGAUGACUGAUCGUCCAAAAUUGGAAGGUGCAGUCUCCCUCUCAUGGGAGGUCGAGCCGUUCUUGAGGUUGCGCCUCAAUGUGGUCACGUGUUCCGUUCCCUCCCCACUAUACUUCGGUGUGUGGGGCUAGGGUGCGGCACGAGCUGCAUUGAGUGUGUCCCAUCAGGAUCGUGUUCCAAGUUC
RNAcentral lists this ribosomal RNA (461 nucleotides) under Cladocroce sp. 2 LNP-2022. Its description in RNAcentral is "partial large subunit ribosomal RNA". Lineage: Eukaryota; Metazoa; Porifera; Demospongiae; Haplosclerida; Chalinidae. The record is from RNAcentral.